AGGAUCCGAGCGUUAUCCGGAUUUAUUGGGUUUAAAGGGUGCUCAGGCGGGGGAUUAAGUCGGCGGUGAAAUUUUGCAGCUCAACUGUAAAAGUGCCUUCGAAACUGGUUUCCUUGAGUGCGGAUGAGGUAGGCGGAAUUUGUGGUGUAGCGGUGAAAUGCAUAGAUAUCACGAGGAACUCCGAUUGCGCAGGCAGCUUACCAAGCCGUAACUGACGCUCAAGCACGAAGGCGUGGGGAUCAAACAGGAUUAGAUACCCUGGUAGUCCACGCAGUAAACGAUGAUUACUGGCUGUUUGCGAUAUAAUGUAAGCGGCUGAGCGAAAGCGUUAAGUAAUCCACCUGGGGAGUACGUUCGCAAGAAUGAAACUCAAAGGAAUUGACGGGGGCCCGCACAAGCGGAGGAACAUGUGGUUUAAUUCGAUGAUACGCGAGGAACCUUACCCGGGCUUGAAAUGCAUCUGGCGUCCCGAGAGAUCGGGAUUUCCCACGGGACAGAUGCGUAGGUGCUGCAUGGUUGUCGUCAGCUCGUGCCGUGAGGUGUCGGCUUAAGUGCCAUAACGAGCGCAACCCCUACCGUUAGUUGCCAUCAGGUCAAGCUGGGGACUCUAACGAGACUGCCAUCGUAAGGUGCGAGGAAGGUGGGGAUGACGUCAAAUCAGCACGGCCCUUACGUCCGGGGCGACACACGUGUUACAAUGGGUGGUACAAAGGGCAGCUACAUGGCGACAUGGUGCCAAUCUCCAAAACCACUCUCAGUUCGGAUCGGAGUCUGCAACUCGACUCCGUGAAGCUGGAUUCGCUAGUAAUCGCGCAUCAGCCACGGCGCGGUGAAUACGUUCCCGGGCCUUGUACACACCGCCCGUCAAGCCAUGGAAGCUGGGGGUGCCUGAAGUCCGUAACCGUCAAAGGAGCGGCCUAGGGUAAAACCGGUGACUGGGGCUAAGUCGUAACAAGGUAGCCGUACCGGAAGGUGC
RNAcentral lists this ribosomal RNA (976 nucleotides) under uncultured bacterium. RNAcentral's name for it is "bacterial SSU rRNA". It matches the Rfam family "Bacterial small subunit ribosomal RNA", at positions 529 to 1515 of the family's 1533-position model. The record is from RNAcentral.